AGUCAAGCUAAUAAGGGCAUACGGUGGAUGCCUUGGCGCCAAGAGCCGAUGAAGGACGGGGUAAGCUCCGAUAAGCUAGGGGGAAUCGCAAGCAGGUUUUGAUCCCUAGAUUUCCGAAUGGGAAACCCAACAGUGGUAAUGCACUGUUACCCAUACCUGAGAGUAUGAGGAGGGCACCUGGGGAACUGAAACAUCUAAGUACCCAGAGGAAAAGUAAUCAAGUGAGAUUCCCUAAGUAGCGGCGAGCGAACGGGGAAGAGCCCAAACCGAGUCAGUUUACUGAUUCGGGGUUGAGGACCGGCAUAAUUCGAGUCAGGCUUAGUCGAACUACCUGGAAAGGUAGACCAUAGGGGGUAACAGUCCCGUAGACGAAAAGCAGAGCAAGAUGGCCGAGUUCCAGAGUACCACGAGACACGUGAAACCUUGUGGGAAGCAGGGGGGACCACCCUCCAAGGCAAAAUACUCCUUGGCGACCGAUAGCGUAUAGUACCGUGAGGGAAAGGUGAAAAGCACCCCGGGAGGGGAGUGAAAAAGAACCUGAAACCGUAUGUCUACAAGCAGUUGAAGACCCUUAUGUGGUCAACAGCGUGCCUAUUGAAGAAUGAACCGGCGAGUUACAGUAACUAGCGAGGUUAAGCAGAAGAUGUGGAGCCGCAGCGAAAGCGAGUCUUAAUAGGGCGAAUAGUUAGUUGUUGUAGACCCGAAACCGCAGUGAUCUAUCCAUGGCCAGGUUGAAGCGCAGGUAAAAUUGCGUGGAGGACCGAACUCGUGAACGUUGAAAAGUUUUGAGAUGAGUUGUGGAUAGGGGUGAAAUGCCAAUCGAACGCGGAGAUAGCUGGUUCUCCCCGAAAUAGCUUUAGGGCUAGCCUCAAGAAAUAAGUACAGACGGUAGAGCUCUGAUUGGGCUAGGGGCCUUAUAGGUUACCGAACUCUGUCAAACUGCGAAUGGCUGUACUCGGACCUUGGGAGUCAGACUGCGAGUGAUAAGACCCGUAGUCAAGAGGGAAACAGCCCAGACCAUCAGCUAAGGUCCCAAAUGCCGUACUAAGUGGCAAAGGAUGUGGAACUUCAGAAACAACCAGGAUGUUGGCUUAGAAGCAGCCACCAUUUAAAGAGUGCGUAAUAGCUCACUGGUCGAGAGGUUUUGCGCCGAAGAUGUCCGGGGCUAAAGUACGGAACCGAAGCUAUGGAUUUUAACUUUGUUACAAGUGGUAGGGGAGCGUUCUAUACGCUUUGAAGCAGUACCGUAAGGAGCUGUGGAGUAUAUAGAAGUGAGAAUGCCGGUAUGAGUAGCGAAAAGACAAGUGAGAAUCUUGUCCACCGAAAGCCUAAGGUUUCCUGAGCAACGCUCGUCGUCUCAGGGUAAGUCGGGGCCUAAGCCGAGGCGUAAAUGCGUAGGCGAUGGACAACUGGCAAACAUUCCAGUACCACCCACAUCCGUUUGAGUGAUGGAGUGACACAGAAGGGUAAGUAAUCGCAUGAAUGGAAGAAAUGCGUCUAAGCUUGUAGGGUGUUUAGUAGGCAAAUCCGCUAAACGUAUAGCCUGAGGAGUGACGGGGAGUUGCUAGCGAUAGCGAUGAACUUACUGAUCCCACACUGUCAAGAAAAGCUUCUAGCGAGGCUGUGGGUGCCCGUACCGCAAAC
RNAcentral lists this non-coding RNA (1644 nucleotides) under Pelosinus sp. UFO1. RNAcentral's name for it is "Bacterial large subunit ribosomal RNA". It matches the Rfam family "Bacterial large subunit ribosomal RNA", at positions 1 to 1654 of the family's 2925-position model. The record is from Rfam by way of RNAcentral. Lineage: Bacteria; Bacillati; Bacillota; Negativicutes; Selenomonadales; Sporomusaceae.